RNAcentral lists this small RNA (125 nucleotides) under Marmota monax (woodchuck). The record is from RNAcentral. Lineage: Eukaryota; Metazoa; Chordata; Mammalia; Rodentia; Sciuridae.
GCUGGGCAAGCAGCCACAUGCCUGUAAUCCCAGCAGCUUGGGAGGCUGAAACAGGAGGAUUGUGAGUUCAAAGACAGCCUCUGCAAUUGCGAGACACUAAGCAAUUCAUUGAGACCCUGUCUCUC